CCUACGGGUGGCUGCAGUCGAGGAUCUUCGUCAAUGGGCGCAAGCCUGAACGAGCGACGCCGCGUGCGGGAUGAAGGCCCUUGGGUUGUAAACCGCUGUCAGGGGGGAGCAAGGCGCAAGCUUGAGCGAGCCCCAGAGGAAGCACGGGCUAAGUUCGUGCCAGCAGCCGCGGUAAUACGAACUGUGCGAACGUUAUUCGGAAUCACUGGGCUUACAGGGUGCGUAGGCGGCCGACCAGGUCAGGUGUGAAAUCCCCCGGCCCAACCGGGGAAUGGCGCUUGAAACCGGACGGCUUGAGUGACCUAGAGGUGCAUGGAACUUCCGGUGGAGCGGUGAAAUGUGUUGAUAUCGGAAGGAACACCAGAGGCGAAAGCGAUGCACUGGGGGUUAACUGACGCUGAGGCACGAAAGCCAGGGGAGCAAACGGGAUUAGAUACCCU
RNAcentral lists this ribosomal RNA (440 nucleotides) under uncultured bacterium. RNAcentral's name for it is "bacterial SSU rRNA". It matches the Rfam family "Bacterial small subunit ribosomal RNA", at positions 338 to 788 of the family's 1533-position model. The record is from RNAcentral.